This 490-nucleotide ribosomal RNA is filed under the name uncultured bacterium. RNAcentral describes it as "partial 16S ribosomal RNA". It matches the Rfam family "Bacterial small subunit ribosomal RNA", at positions 30 to 507 of the family's 1533-position model. The record is from RNAcentral.
AUUGAACGCUGGCGGCAGGCCUAACACAUGCAAGUCGAACGGUAACAGGAAGCAGCUUGCUGCUUUGCUGACGAGUGGCGGACGGGUGAGUAAUGUCUGGGAAACUGCCCGAUGGAGGGGGAUAACUACUGGAAACGGUAGCUAAUACCGCAUAACGUCGCAAGACCAAAGAGGGGGACCUUAGGGCCUCUUGCCAUCGGAUGUUCCCAGAUGGGAUUAGCUAGUAGGUGGGGUAACGGCUCACCUAGGCGACGAUCCCUAGCUGGUCUGAGAGGAUGACCGGCCACACUGGAACUGAGACACGGUCCAGACUCCUACGGGAGGCAGCAGUGGGGAAUAUUGCACAAUGGGCGCAAGCCUGAUGCAGCCAUGCCGCGUGUAUGAAGAAGGCCUUCGGGUUGUAAAGUACUUUCAGCGGGGAGGAAGAGAGUAAAGUUAAUACCUUUGCUCAUUGACGUUACCCGCAGAGGAAGCACCGGCUAACUCCGUG